Molecule: RNA transcript, 4859 nt
Organism: Polypterus senegalus (gray bichir)
Lineage: Eukaryota; Metazoa; Chordata; Cladistia; Polypteriformes; Polypteridae
Gene: cacfd1
Gene name: calcium channel flower domain containing 1
Exons: 6
Source: RefSeq, a predicted model, not a curated record
CUGCAGUAACACUCCACUGCUGCCAAGCUCCAUUCGCUGCUAAUUAACAGCUGCUAUAUUUCUUCCAAGGCUUUUGGUGGUAGUAGUUUUACACAUUAUUGAGUUUUUCCGCAUAAGUAAGAGUGUAUUCGAUUCGAAGGGUCCUUCAGCAAGUAAGCGAGAAAACAAACUGUAAUUGUUUUCACAUUAAGGAAAUAUUUACUUCUAGGAUAUUCUCGACGUGUUUUUUUCUAUUCAGGACGUUUUCAGACAAUGGGAAUAGAUAUUCAGUCUGGCUGGUAAGGAAGCGUUUAGUACAACGAAACGCUCAUGGUUUAUAUUGUUUAAAUUUAACAAAAUUUUAAGAAACACUGGAAACUGCUUCAUUGACUCGACUUGAAUUUUAACUUGGACAAGUUAAAAGUUUUUACUCCGAUCGGUGGAUCCGUCCUGUCGGUGGAAGGCGAAAGAAGAUGUGUUGCCAGUCGACAAAUCCGUGACAGAAAAUUUAAGAUUGCAACCAUUUGAAGGCAAUUCCUGGGACCUGGAUUAAUCUGACACCGCAGGAUCCCCAAAGCGCAUCUCACAAUUUCUGUGUUGUUGAAUAAUUGAUUGUCGUGAAAAAUGAGCUCAGCGGAAGACACUGCCGGUGCCGCGCCAGUCAAAGAGGAGGGGGAUGGUAUGUCCUGGUGGUACCGCUGGCUGUGCAAGAUUGCCGGAGUGUUGGGAGGAAUCUCAUGUGCAAUUGCUGGCAUCUGGAACUGUGUCACCAUUUACCCCUUGAAUAUUGCAGCAGGAGUGUGGAUGGUGCUAAAUGCAUUCAUUCUCUUCCUAUGUGAAGUUCCAUUUUGCUGUCAGUUUAUAGAGUUUGCAAAUGCAGUGGCGGCAAGAGCUGACAAACUCCGUCCUUGGCAAAAGGCUUUCUUUUACUGUGGGAUGGCACUGUUUCCCAUCCUGCUUAGCCUAUCCAUCACCACACUUCUGGGAAAUGCCAUAGCCUUUGCAACAGGUGUGCUGUAUGGACUUGCAUCACUGGGAAAGAAGGGUGAUGCAGUGGGGUAUGCACGUCUCCAGCAUCAGAAACAGGGUGAUGAGGAAAAACUUACAGGAACUACUGACGAAGUACUACAGUGACAUCACUUCUAGCUCCAAGACAUUCUUAACUUACUACUGCUGCUCUUGAUGGGAAAACGUCUUGUUUGGGAUUCUAAAUUUGAUACUGGCCUUUUAAAUAAAUGAUUGUACUAAAUAUCUGCUAAACUGUCAGUUGAUUCAGGCAACGCCUUACUUUUUCUUUUAUGUUUACCAAUAAUUUAAGAUGCAGGGAUUUAUCAUCAGGUUUAAGACUGAUUCAGAUUAUGUCAGGUGUUUUAUUUAUAUUUAUGUAAAAGUAUAUGUCAUAAACCCUUCAUCAAACUCUUUAUCCUGAUCCAUGGCAGGUGUAAUGGAGAGGUUGCCCUAUUUCAUCUGGAAUUGUACUGUAUCAGUGGGCAUUCACUUUAAGAUGUUUGGUAUUAGCUGGAACCUCCUCUGAAGCUUCUCUGUUGUUUUCAAUUGAAUCAGGACUGCUCAAUCCCAGAUCUGUUAUACUUCUUCCCUUUACUUCUGUGAGUUUGAAACUGCUCUCCCAUGUGUCUCAUAAAGUAUUCAUAGUUUGAUGCAAGGUCGAGAUGUUCUUGAGUUCCUCCGUGGGAACCAUGGAUUGGGUAUUUUUAUUUAUCAAUGUGUCUUGUGGUUGAUUGUUUUUUGUAGUUGUAUAUAAAUUAAAAUUAGAUUACCAAAAAUUAAAAAUGUAUUUCAUAAGUCACCACUGGGAAAUUAAAAUUUUACAGUGACUAUAGAAAAAAAUUAAUUUGAUAAAAACAAACUACAUUCAUAACACACAUAAAAACUGCUGGUUUGGAUAACAAACAGCUACUGUUAAUACAUGCUUGUAGGUGUCAGUAAGAUGAGGUCAGAUCUGCUCAGAUUGUGCCACAGGAAUAUUUUUAAGAAUAUUAAUAUGUGGAUACAGCAGUGUCCAUAAAAGGAAUUGGCCUAAUAGGCAUUGACUCUUUCUUUGAAGUCACCAGCAUUAAGAACAAUUCACCAAAAAGACUUUGGUACUGAGUGAAUCAUUUCUGUAGCUGAGUCAGUCAGGAUGAUCUAACUUACUUUCCCUAGCAGGGCUAAUUCAGUCUGCAGUUCAUGCCUGGAUCACACAUUUAGUCUUAAUUAUACUGUGCUCCCUUUUUCAUCACUGCACAUUCACAAAAAUCUCCAGUCCUCUUCCUGCUUUUUCUACUCACUCUGAUCAAACCCAUCCAGCAUUAAAAUAGUGUCUGAAAUAAGAUGUAUAAGCUGGUUGUCUACAGUACCCAAAUAUUACAUACAGUACCUGAGCUUGCCAUACCUUGCUGUGAGAUGUAACAGUUCAAAUGAAGUCAUCCAAGAUCCGAGUCCUUUCCAAAGUUACCAGAAUGUUACAAGUAGGAAAAACAACCAAUGAGGCAGACAGCAGCAUAUACAGUAAAUGAUUCUGUUUAUGAAGCACAUAAUAUCACUUAGUGGUCUUAUUUCUGAAAUAAGGUUGCUCUGAGGUUAAUUUUUCUAGUUUGUUUUGUUAGAAAAUGUAAUAGAUGUCUUUAAGCACUCAAUCAUGAAAUAGUGUAGUACUUCACUACACAAUAAAGGCUUCAAUGAUGAAUUUGAAAGAUAAAGUCCUCUCUGUCUGAACCAUAAAAAAGAACUAGAAUGAGCAAAGUAUUGUGCAGUAUAUUUUAUAACAUGAUAUUUUUUGGCAUAUUGUCCUAAUAAUACUAAUUAAAUUCUUGUUUAUCCAUUUUUAGAUCUCAUAAAAUCAUCUAAAACUAAAUAACAGACAGCUGUUAAAACAUUAUUGGCUGCUUCGAGGCCAAGAUGCUAUGCAGUAUACUUUUACCGACCCUACAGAGGUAACACAUCAUGUUAACUACAAGUUACAACUUUCUUAUAUAUGUUGCAUACAGUUAAAUGCUUUGCUGCAUUACUUCACUACACAUCCGGAUGUACUGAUCAUGAGUUAAGGCAGCAUUUCUUGUGUGCAAACCUCAUUUAAAAACAAUUAAGCAGUUUAAGUGCAAUUACAAUUCAAAGUUUUGAAUAAGGUAUGAAAACUGAUCAUUUAUAAAGUGGAAGCUUUGUACUUACUACUAUAGAAAUGUGACGUUAGCGUAGCCUGUAUGUGAUAUGUGUGUUUUAUUCAUAUGAGAUGUUUUAUUUGUUUUCUUGUUUUCUUCCUGCAGACCUAGUGUUUGUGUUUAAUGUGUUCCUGUAGUAGACCCCGAGCAUUAUAUUUAUUGUUUAUGUACAUUACGUGUGCAUGUCUUUUUAUGAAAUUAUUUAAAUGUUACACUCAUUCCGUUUCCUUCUUAGCAUUAAAAUAUGUGUGAUAAACUGAAAAAGAAUGGAUUUCUGGAAAAUUAUGACAGCAACAGUCUGUAUUACAGUAUCCAUUGCAUAAGCUACUAAAAAUAAAAAUAUUUUUUAUUUUAAUGAAAACUCCGGAUACAUGACCCAUUUACAUUGCUUUUAAAUAACGCUAGGCUUUUUUUAUCUAACAUGGACUUAAACAGAGAUAACUGCAUAGUAAGGGCACACAUGUCAGAAUGCUUGCCAUUCAGUAGUUUAAUAAAUCUGGCUGUUAUUAGUGGACAAACUGUUGUAAAUAAGUGUUUUAUUUAUUAAUUUUCUCUGCACUAUUUAAAAAUGUUUAACAAAGCCUGAAGUAUAGAAGACAGGAUACUGUUGUAAUUAAGGUGAGCUGAGCUCACCAAGUGUUUUUUAAUAACACUCCCCAUGUGAGAAGGAUGUGAAUUUCUUUACUCCACACAAAAGUAGUUUGUAAUUUUUUUUCUUUAUGUUAUGAACUUCCUUGUGCUUGAUGCUUCCUGGAACAAGCUCCAGCGUUUCCAUGACACUGUUUUGGAUAUGGAUGGGGAAAGACUGAUGGAUGGAAGGAUGUUAUGAGUUGUCCAUAAUUUGGAGUAUUCUGUUCAGUUGAUGUGCAUGUAUAAUAUAGUAUGUCUGUAUAAAAAAAUAUAUAUAUAUGGUGUGAAAUUGGCACACACUACUCAAGCAAUGGAAGACAUACUCCUUUACAUAGAAAAUAUGUAACAGGUUUGAGAAAGCACUGCUGUCUAGACACAACAAUAUACAAGGCUUAAUUUAUGUGUUUGGCAAGCUCCACUGCAGCAGUGAUCUGAUCCUUGUAAAGCCUGGUGCUUGGAAGGUAUCAUUAUCCUUGGAUGUUCAUAGAGUCGGUUUCAUCCAUAAGAAGCAGAUUGUUUGACAGAGUUAACAAAUCUCUGUCCAUUUCUGGUAUGCAAAAAUAAGCAUAGGUAACUGGGUAGGGGCUGAUCUACUAUGAAGCUUAAUCUUCAGGGCCCCAGAAGCAACUUUAGUCUACAUUGCUUAAAGUUUUGCAUAGCUACUGUAUGACGAAUGGGUUUUUAAAAAUAAAAUUUUGAAAUAUGGUAUAAUUCAAUGCAAAACGUUUCUGAGAAUAAAACUUAAAAGGGCAUUAAAGCAUCAUGCAGGCUAGCCAAAAACGUUCAAAUUAAGGAUUGUUCAUUCUAAAUAUAUUUAAUAUAAAGUUAUUGUAAGCUAUUUAAAACACUUAACAUUUAUAAAAAUGAUACUAUUUUUAUUAAAAUUAUUUAUCUUAGGCUAACUGUAUUUGAAAAAAUGAACACACAUUUCAUUGCUUACAGUCAUAGUAGAGGACAAUAUUUCAGUAACUUUUUAUUUACACGGAUAAUCUUAUAACAGGGGGUGGCGCUGUGGCACAGUUAGAAGACCUGGGUUUGCUUCUCGGGUCCUCCCUGCGUGGAGUUUGCAUGUUCUCCCCGUGUCUGCGUGGG